GGUAAAAUGGCUGAGCAAGCAUCAGACUGUAAAUCUAAAGACGGAGGUCAAAGGCUUCUUUUCACCA
Molecule: transfer RNA, 67 nt
Filed under: Callithrix jacchus (white-tufted-ear marmoset)
Lineage: Eukaryota; Metazoa; Chordata; Mammalia; Primates; Cebidae
Rfam family: tRNA
About the family: Transfer RNA (tRNA) molecules are approximately 80 nucleotides in length.
Source: Rfam by way of RNAcentral